GUGAUUUUGGCAGACAAAUGUGCCAACAUUCAACUUGUGAAAGUAGGAACAAUGUGCUAUACACUGGGAGAAAUCACUCAUCAAAUCAAAACAAGAUUACAUGAUGUACUUUGAAACUGUUUUCUGUUGCAUCAAAUGAUCAAUAUGAACUCGAAAGUUCCAAACAGAGAGAACAGUAAUUUCAUUUUUACUGAUGUAUGGUCACACAUUUAGCUGCACAGAUAUUCACAAUGACUUUACGUUGAUUAGCUUUUCUGGUUUACUAGUUGUUGCCCUUAUCUCCUUCUGGUUUCAUCCACGACUAAAGCUUUUUAAGAGCAAAGAUCAUGGCGACUCGUUGAAUAGCAUCACCUUGCCGCAUACUGGACAGUUGUCACUUCUCUCCAUCCACUCAUAUAUGCAACCCAAGUGGAAGUGGUGAGAGCAUUUUGUCAUUAUUUUUGGGUUUUCUUCAGUAUAUUCUUCAAGACAUGUCGGGCAGACAUCUUCAUCUUCUGAAGAAUAACAAAUUUGAGUAAACUCAGUAGUUGUUUUAGCUGUUGAGAAUUUCAAUGACUUGGAAUUAUAUUCUUUUGAUCCUUCUUCACAUACAGACUCCUUCCAUUUAUUGCCCAUACCCAAAGAUUCAGAAUCAUCAUCAAUAUCACUUCUUCGUAGUGGUUCAGUUUCCUCAUGUGAAUGACUUGAGCCUUUCUCCCUUCUUGAGACUAGCCCAUCACGUUGCAAGCGGAAGUAUCUUGGAUCAGCAUCGUAAGGAAGUGGUCUUGGAGGAGAGCGGUACAUAUCAGAUAGUGAGUUAUCAAGGGAUGCUGAGGAGCUCAAAGAUGUUGUACCUUGAGUGGAUGAAGCAAUGGCAUGUUGUUCUCCUCUAUGAAACAAUGAUGCAUACAUAUGCAAGAAGUUUUGAACAAAACAUCGAAGGCAUAAGCAGUUCCUAUAUAUUGAGCUGUUUGGAUUGGCAAAAUCUUCACAUUCAUCUCGCAAGCAGCAACAAACUGCACCCAUGAUGAUGUCUUCAAAUAAAUGUUCGUAACUCAAAAACCUUCCACGGCUAUCAUUGUCAAUCCUCCAUUCUUGUGAUUAGAUGGUUAUGGAUGCAAAACUUGUAAGAAUAUAACUUACGGAAAAUGCAAUUGGGCACCCUCUCUCUUCAGGAAACCCUGAAUGAGUUGAUGCCCUUCAUGACCAAGACCUUCAGAAAAAAUUUCAAAAACUGUUGUGUAUCACCGUGAAAAUCUCUGAAAAUAGCGGAGAUUGCGGGGAUAAUAGAGAGAAAGAUAAAAAUAGAUAAUUUCAGAGGUCAAAGGGUUUCUUUUUUAUUU
Molecule: unclassified non-coding RNA, 1322 nt
Filed under: Hevea brasiliensis (rubber tree)
Lineage: Eukaryota; Viridiplantae; Streptophyta; Magnoliopsida; Malpighiales; Euphorbiaceae
Source: RNAcentral